CAAAGGAGGCCUUGCUUCAGGAUAUGAACUCACUAGCUUAUUUUGUAGAUGCUGUGUAUGGCAGGCCCUACUGACUAUAAAUGUAGCUUAAAAACAUGCAAAAACUUUAACUGUUCUUUGCUGCAUUAUGCCCCAGGUUUUAUCUGUACUUCUUCAAUAUGUUAAGGUAAUUUGAGGAUGACUAAAAGGUUAUUUGAGGAUAAUGAAACACUGUGUUUAGCCUGCUACAGUUGCAGAGAAUUUGCUGCAUUUUCCUGGUUAUACAGUUUUACCGUCACAGAUGUAAUGAAAUAGAAAAACAGACGAUAUAAAUCUCCUGUAGCAAGGGGUUGAGGGAAAUGCUGCAGUAUUGGGUGUUUGUUGUUGUUGUUUGUUUUUAGUUUUUUGUUUUUAGUUUUUGUUAUAUGGAGAUGAGAUUUGUAGUCAUUUUCCACCUUUUCUAUAGUUUCUCUCUUAAUUUGUUCUUGAAGCUAUUGAUUCUCUGGAGAAGUUUAUCAUCCUGCCGUACAUCCCUGCUUGUCUGUUGGUUGGAAAUUUCUAGAAUCCCACAGAGACUCCAGGAAGUUUAUGUUUUGUUAAUGCAAAUGUGUUUCUAUUUCUGUUAAUGUGUGUUUUAUAUUCUAUGCUAUCUGUGGGGAAAACCGGAGCCUAAAAGAAUUAAGAGACUUAACCUUAGGUUGCUCAGUGGAAGGCUCUGGGGGGAGAAGAGGAGCCCUUUGACUGUGAAGUAUCUAUGGACUAUGGGUGGUUGGAAGGGAGGAUAGUAAGAUGAGAACAUUGUUUAGGACCAAGAGCAAUAUUAUUAAUUAGGAUUUAGUUGUUCCUAGAGCAAAGCACUAUAUACUUUUGUAUACAAAAAGUAGAAGAAAUAGGCUAUAGUGAUAGAGAGAUGCUUUAGAAAGCAGGGAGUCUUGAAUAUCUUGGAUAAUCUCCAAUGCAUGGAAGGAGAAAUCCAAAUGUUAUAUGAGCAAGCAGAUCACCCUUGAGCAGAAGAGAGAAGGUGCGUUUAUCCUUUUUACUGGGUUUUUUUACAACAGAUUCUGAAGUAAGGGCUUCCUAUAAUGUGUAUAUGGAAGGCAUUGCUAUAUGAAGUGCCAGAAAAACCAGGAGACAUCUGUGAAGCUCAGCAUACAAGAAACAAGCUCCUGAUAAAUGCCUGCUGCUAAAUAAUGCAUUUUGUCUGUAGAUCUUCUUGAUACCUCCAAGAGCUGCAUGCACAGCCAGAUGUAAUAGACUCUGCAGGUGAAAAUUCUGAAAAUACUUAUCUGCAUACAAGCAUAGCUUCAGUGAAUGGGAGCAGACAGGAGUUGUGUUCUACAUGGUAUUCUACCUCAGGAGGAUGUGCUAUUCUGGACUAUAUUAUGGCCACUAAGGCAUGUUGCACAAGAGAGGCCUCAUUCCAGGAGCUUCUGUAUGGCUCGAGAGCUUUGGCCUUGGAGUUGAAGUCCAGUUUUUGCAUAUUGGUGAGAGUGUGAUGAAUUAAAGUGUCAGGGAGAAGUUCUCCUUUUGAA
This is a long non-coding RNA of Lagopus muta (rock ptarmigan), 1511 nucleotides long. RefSeq lists it as uncharacterized. Lineage: Eukaryota; Metazoa; Chordata; Aves; Galliformes; Phasianidae. The transcript is spliced from 4 exons. The record is from RefSeq and is a predicted model, not a curated record.